Molecule: ribosomal RNA, 371 nt
Filed under: uncultured bacterium
Lineage: Bacteria
Description: bacterial SSU rRNA
Rfam family: Bacterial small subunit ribosomal RNA
Source: RNAcentral
GACGAACGCUGGCGGCGUGCUUAACACAUGCAAGUCGAGCGGUAAGGCCCUUCGGGUACACGAGCGGCGAACGGGUGAGUAACACGUGGGUGACCUGCCUCUAGCUCUGGGAUAAGCCUGGGAAACUGGGUCUAAUACCGGAUAUGACUCCACGGCGCAUGUUGUGGGGUGGAAAGCCUUGUGUGGCUAGAGAUGGGCCCGCGGCCUAUCAGCUUGUUGGUGGGGUGAUGGCCACCAAGGCGACGACGGGUAGCCGGCCUGAGAGGGCGACCGGCCACACUGGGACUGAGACACGGCCCAGACUCCUACGGGAGGCAGCAGUGGGGAAUCUUGCGCAAUGGGCGAAAGCCUGACGCAGCGACGCCGCGUGA